GAAAACAACGAAGGAGUAAGAGGGAUAGAUCAAACUUGGGCCCCUGAGCGACGUGUAGCGGGGGAAAGUACUACAGGGCCAUCUAACGAGCCCGUAAAACAGAAUCAAAGUAUGUGUCUUCACGGUUGCCUACAUUAGUGACCACAGCCUGAUCGGGUGCUGCACAAACUGGCCAUGAUCCAAUCCACACAAGGCCUCGCCAAAGAACGUUCCAUUUCGUCGUAAUUACGCAUACCAGCUCGGCGGCCAUGUUCGUUACGAUAGCAACAUAAGGACGCUAAGUUGAAUUUGAACGGUGAUGGCGACGACCUAUUCAACACUGUCACUAGCACGUCGUUCAUUUGUAGAGACAUGUUUAUGUGGACUGGAUAUUGUGUUACUAUUGUAGUGGUAAAAUAAAUAAAAUACAGCGAACUGAUCUUAGACCAAGAGGAAACGCGAUUCUUUUUGACAGCAAAUUUGACCAGAGUUUUUAAAAUUGUCGAAUCCGCAUGGAUCUUCGUAUUUAAAGCUUUUUUACGCCAAGGUCAAAAUGCCGAACAUUUGUGCAGUUAACGCAUGUUACAACAAAGGUGAUAAAAAUAAUCCAGCCAUAAGUUUUUUAUAGUUUCCAAAAAGUUCGCAUUACCGCACAUUGCGGCUGAAAGUGUGCAAAAGGAG
Long non-coding RNA from Belonocnema kinseyi, 660 nucleotides. RefSeq lists it as uncharacterized. Lineage: Eukaryota; Metazoa; Arthropoda; Insecta; Hymenoptera; Cynipidae. The record is from RefSeq and is a predicted model, not a curated record. The transcript has 3 exons.